CAAGUCGAGCGCCCGCAAGGGAGCGGCAGACGGGUGAGUAACGCGUGGGAAUCUACCGUGCCCUACGGAAUAGCUCCGGGAAACUGGAAUUAAUACCGUAUACGCCCUUCGGGGGAAAGAUUUAUCGGGGUAUGAUGAGCCCGCGUUGGAUUAGCUAGUUGGUGGGGUAAAGGCCUACCAAGGCGACGAUCCAUAGCUGGUCUGAGAGGAUGGUCAGCCACAUUGGGACUGAGACACGGCCCAA
This 244-nucleotide ribosomal RNA is filed under the name uncultured bacterium. RNAcentral describes it as "partial 16S ribosomal RNA". It matches the Rfam family "Bacterial small subunit ribosomal RNA", at positions 58 to 334 of the family's 1533-position model. The record is from RNAcentral.